RNAcentral lists this long non-coding RNA (1417 nucleotides) under Felis catus (domestic cat). Its description in RNAcentral is "lncRNA (ENSFCAG00000046552.2)". The record is from RNAcentral. Lineage: Eukaryota; Metazoa; Chordata; Mammalia; Carnivora; Felidae.
GACAUAGGGUCAUGGGCACAUAGGAGAAGGCCACAGGAGGAUGGAAGCUGAGAUUGGGGGUGAUGCCUCUAUAAGCCAAGGAAUGCUAGGGAUUCUGGACACCAAUAGGAGCUGAAAAAGUCAAGAAUGACCCUCCUCUAGACACUUCAGUGGGAACCUGGCCCUGCCGACAUACAGCUUGAUUUUGGACUUCUGGCCUUCAGAACUAUGAAAGAAGAAAUUUCUGUUGUUUUAAGCCACCUACUGUGUGACACUUGGUUACAGCAGUCCCAGGAAACUAAGACAACUUGUAUUAUCAUUUAGAUAAUUUUUUUCCUUAAAUUGAUUCCUUUUUACAUAGACAUAUUCAUUUAAAAAGUAAACUUUAUAGCAGUGCUAUGCCUGGAGGAAAAGCAAUAACAUUUUCCACAUGUCAAGUUGUCGAGGAGAAAUAUAAAAUUAUUGCCCUGAGCUUAUUUGUCAGUGAACCACCUGAUGGCUACCAUUUUUUGGAUACCUCUUGGUUUAGGAGCCAGGGGCUCUUUGUACUGGUUUAAUACUCUUUCAUCCCAGGCUUUGAGACAAAUAGUUUCUAGCUGAAAACUUUAACUUUCCACAUGGUCAGUGUCGCAUGAGGCUUUGGGCCGAAGAUGAACAGAAAUCUUAAUUUGGAUUGUCGUAGACAAGAAGGAACUUUAUUAUCGCAAGUAACAACAAGUCCAGAGAUAACGUAGGCCUCAGGCUCUCUCCAUUAACUGUAGCUUCUCCCCAUUUUGAGGAGAGGAUCGUUGAACUGGAAGUGGCGGCCUGUUGCUGUUUGCAGCCUUUCUGCAUCUCCAAGAGGCAAGUGAUAAGAGCGAGAGUCCUAGACCACCGGUAGGAGGGCUGUCCGUCUGCAGAGGGACAGGACACAUCAGUAGUUCCCAGUCGUCACCAGUGAAGUUCUUUGGCCACAGGACAGAGCCAUGCCAACCUGCCCCACACAUCCUUUAAUGGACAUCGCGUUCCUAUCUCUGACCAAAGGCUCAGUGAUCCAGUCUCUCGUGCCCUCAUCCUCUUCGCCUUUCUGUGGGCUGUUGAUGAGCUCAUAUUCAAGUCUAAAUUGCAGCAGAAGUAAUGAAAUCUCAAGCCACGGUUCUUCCUUGUUAUCAUUUUUAGUGCUUUUCACUGUGAGCAUGACGCACCUCGUACAUGACUUUUCAGUUUAGACUAUGAUGGCACACUGGCCAAGGAAAUACGCACGUAAAUUAUGUCAGUGGGGGCAUCUGAGUGGCUCAGUCGGUUAAGCAUCCGACUUCAGCUCAGGUCAUGAUCUCAUGGUUUGUGAGUUCGAGCCCCGCAUUGGGCUCCGUGCUGACAGCUCAGAGCCUGGAGCCUGCUUUGGAUUCUGUGUCUCAUUCUUUCUCUGCCUCUCCCCCACAUGUGCUCUGUCUCCCUC